CCUACGGGAGGCAGCAGUGGGGAAUAUUGCGCAAUGGGCGAAAGCCUGACGCAGCGACGCCGCGUGAGGGAUGAAGGUCUUCGGAUCGUAAACCUCUGUCAGCAGGGAAGAACGGUCACUGUGCUAAUCAGCAGUGAAUUGACGGUACCUGCAACGGAAGCACCGGCUAACUCCGUGCCAGCAGCCGCGGUAAUACGGAGGGUGCGAGCGUUAAUCGGAAUUACUGGGCGUAAAGCGCUCGUAGGCGGUAUGUCAAGUCAAGGGUGAAAUCCCCGCGCUCAACGGGGGAACUGCCUUUGAAACUGGCAAACUGGAGUGUGUGAGAGGAUAGUGGAAUUCCAGGUGUAGGAGUGAAAUGCGUAGAUAUCUGGAGGAACAUCAGUGGCGAAGGCGACUAUCUGGCACAUAACUGACGCUGAGGAGCGAAAGCGUGGGUAGCAAACAGGAUUAGAUACCCUUGUAGUC
This 465-nucleotide ribosomal RNA is filed under the name uncultured bacterium. RNAcentral describes it as "partial 16S ribosomal RNA". It matches the Rfam family "Bacterial small subunit ribosomal RNA", at positions 338 to 795 of the family's 1533-position model. The record is from RNAcentral.